Molecule: ribosomal RNA, 468 nt
Filed under: uncultured bacterium
Lineage: Bacteria
Description: partial 16S ribosomal RNA
Rfam family: Bacterial small subunit ribosomal RNA
Source: RNAcentral
GACGAACGCUGGCGGCGUGCUUAACACAUGCAAGUCGAACGGAAAGGCCCUGCUUUUGUGGGGUGCUCGAGUGGCGAACGGGUGAGUAACACGUGAGUAACCUGCCCUUGCCUUUGGGAUAACUUCAGGAAACUGGGGCUAAUACCGGAUAGGAGCUCCUGCUGCAUGGUGGGGGUUGGAAAGUUUCGGCGGUUGGGGAUGGACUCGCGGCUUAUCAGCUUGUUGGUGGGGUAGUGGCUUACCAAGGCUUUGACGGGUAGCCGGCCUGAGAGGGUGGCCGGCCACAUUGGGACUGAGAUACGGCCCAGACUCCUACGGGAGGCAGCAGUGGGGAAUAUUGCACAAUGGGCGGAAGCCUGAUGCAGCAACGCCGCGUGCGGGAUGACGGCCUUCGGGUUGUAAACCGCUUUCGCCUGUGACGAAGCGUGAGUGACGGUAAUGGGUAAAGAAGCACCGGCUAACUACGUG